GGGGACAUAGCUCAGUUGGUAGGGUGUUUGCCUCAUAUGCAAAAAGCCCUGGGUUCAAUCCCCAGCACCACCA
Non-coding RNA from Ictidomys tridecemlineatus (thirteen-lined ground squirrel), 73 nucleotides. Lineage: Eukaryota; Metazoa; Chordata; Mammalia; Rodentia; Sciuridae. The record is from Rfam.